Molecule: long non-coding RNA, 297 nt
Organism: Colius striatus (speckled mousebird)
Lineage: Eukaryota; Metazoa; Chordata; Aves; Coliiformes; Coliidae
Exons: 3
Source: RefSeq, a predicted model, not a curated record
CCGUGCGGUGCCCGGUAGGGUGUAGCAGGCAGGGUUGUGCCACAUCGUUGGGGGCUGUCGCGGCAAAAUGCUGCACUGGGGGAGACGGGCAGCAGGACGCGGCCACUCGCUCCUACCCUGCCCGCUGACCUCUGACAAAGAUGACUGCUGGCCUCUGGGAGCUGACUCCUUCAGAGCAGGGAUGAGUCACUGCCCCUGGGUCAAUAAUGCUACGAUGGCACUCACGAUGGAAAAACAAUGAGGGGGAACAAACAAGGUGCAGACUCCAUCCUUCCUGGAAAGGAAGCCCACAGGAGU